This 20-nucleotide unclassified non-coding RNA is filed under the name Chlamydomonas reinhardtii. RNAcentral's name for it is "small RNA Cre_1616". Lineage: Eukaryota; Viridiplantae; Chlorophyta; Chlorophyceae; Chlamydomonadales; Chlamydomonadaceae. The record is from RNAcentral.
GAGGUCAGGUGCGUACGGCU